CCCAGCCAGCGCCACCCCUGAGGCUUUCCAGCAGCGUGCGCGGUGCUUCGCUUUCCCCCAGACUUUUGCGUGGACCCACCCCACGGGUUUCUUGGAUGGGCACGCACCGCUUUGGGCUUUCGGAAGGGGCUAUCGCAGUUACGGGGGAAAGUCUGCGGCCAACUUUAGAACCCCCACCCCCCGCCAGUUUUGCUUCAGUUUCGCCAGCCAACCUGAACUCGGAGUUGCGGUCUGUAAGCGAAGCUGAACCUGCAACCUCUAGAGGGUUUUAGACGCAGAGGGGCGGGGAGGGCCUGGUUGCUGGGCUGGCUCAGGAGACCGCGCCUCAGAGGCCAAGAGCUCCCAAGCGACCGGAGGACCGCGGACCCGAAGGGGUAUUUCUGACGCCAACACCUGGUGCCGCGCUUUCGCUUUUUCCCGCCUGCAGUACUGCUGCGGACCCGAAGACGGUUUCUAACUGAAGCUGGAGAGAAAAUCAGGCCCGGUGGGUGUCGCAGGCUGGAGCGGACCCCUCCCACCCCCACCGGUAGGCGGGGAUGGGGGGUGUGGGUGGUGGCAGGGGAGUUGCAGAGCAAAGGGAGGAUUCAGUCCCAGGUCACUGCUCCUGGCCUAUACAGGUGCGACUGGUGUGAAAGGGAGCCGGCCCACUCCCUCACGAGGGCCAAGAAGUGCCACGAAGUUGUGAGACAUUCUGGAGGUUCGGAUUCUGGCGCAUUGAGACCGCAGGAAUUUCAGGUCGGCCCUGGUGUCUCCACUUGUCCCUGUUUGGGCAUGUUUUCCAAGAGCCCUGAAGUUCUCUUUCCUAGGCAGGAUCCCUCUGCUAAAUCCCUGGACCUACAAAAUUCCAGGUCUUCUCAUCCCCCCGCCCAUGCUUCUCAACACCACAUGCUUCGCACUUGUGAAUCCUGUCCAGUGGACACAGGUAUGUUUCUCUU
Molecule: long non-coding RNA, 935 nt
Filed under: Ursus americanus (American black bear)
Lineage: Eukaryota; Metazoa; Chordata; Mammalia; Carnivora; Ursidae
Description: lncRNA (ENSUAMG00000025255.1)
Source: RNAcentral